CUCUGUGACUCCUACGGGAGGCAGCAGUGGGGAAUAUUGCACAAUCGGGCGCAAGCCUGAUGCAGCCAUGCCGCGUGUGUGAAGAAGGCCUUCGGGUUGUAAAGCACUUUCAGUUGUGAGGAAGGUGGUGUCGUUAAUAGCGGCAUCAUUUGACGUUAGCAACAGAAGAAGCACCGGCUAACUCCGUGCCAGCAGCCGCGGUAAUACGGAGGGGUGCGAGCGUUAAUCGGAAUUACUGGGCGUAAAGCGCAUGCAGGUGGUUUGUUAAGUCAGAUGUGAAAGCCCCGGGGCUCAACCUCGGAACUGCAUUUGAAACUGGCAGACUAGAGUACUGUAGAGGGGGUAGAAUUUCAGGUGUAGCGGUGAAAUGCGUAGAGAUCUGAAGGAAUACCGGUGGCGAAGGCGGCCCCCUGGACAGAUACUGACACUCAGAUGCGAAAGCGUGGGGAGCAAACAGGAUUAGACACCCUGGUGG
This 475-nucleotide ribosomal RNA is filed under the name uncultured bacterium. RNAcentral's name for it is "bacterial SSU rRNA". It matches the Rfam family "Bacterial small subunit ribosomal RNA", at positions 328 to 793 of the family's 1533-position model. The record is from RNAcentral.